UACGAAGGGGGCUAGCGUUGUUCGGAAUUACUGGGCGUAAAGCGCACGUAGGCGGACUAUUAAGUCAGGGGUGAAAUCCCGGGGCUCAACCCCGGAACUGCCUUUGAUACUGGUAGUCUCGAGUCCGGAAGAGGUGAGUGGAAUUCCGAGUGUAGAGGUGAAAUUCGUAGAUAUUCGGAGGAACACCAGUGGCGAAGGCGGCUCACUGGUUCGGUACUGACGCUGAGGUGCGAAAGCGUGGGGAGCAAACAGG
RNAcentral lists this ribosomal RNA (253 nucleotides) under uncultured bacterium. RNAcentral's name for it is "partial 16S ribosomal RNA". It matches the Rfam family "Bacterial small subunit ribosomal RNA", at positions 524 to 776 of the family's 1533-position model. The record is from RNAcentral.